GACGAACGCUGGCGGCGUGCUUAACACAUGCAAGUCGAGCGGUAAGGCCCUCGGGUACACGAGCGGCGAACGGGUGAGUAACACGUGGGUGACCUGCCUCUAGCUCUGGGAUAAGCCUGGGAAACUGGGUCUAAUACCGGAUAUGACUCCACGGCGCAUGUUGUGGGGUGGAAAGCCUUGUGUGGCUAGAGAUGGGCCCGCGGCCUAUCAGCUUGUUGGUGGGGUGAUGGCCUACCAAGGCGACGACGGGUAGCCGGCCUGAGAGGGCGACCGGCCACACUGGCACUGACACACGGGCCAGACUCCUACGGGAGGCAGCAGUGGGGAAUUUUGGGCAAUGGGCGAAAGCCUGACCCAGCAACGCCGCGUGAGGGAGGAAAUCCUUCGGGAUGUAAACCUCACAAGCAAGGGAAGAGAGCUACGGGCUGAAUAAUCCCGUAGUGCGACGGUACCUUGCGUAAGCCACGGCUAACUACGUGCCAGCAGCUGCAGUAAG
RNAcentral lists this ribosomal RNA (496 nucleotides) under uncultured bacterium. Its description in RNAcentral is "bacterial SSU rRNA". It matches the Rfam family "Bacterial small subunit ribosomal RNA", at positions 28 to 524 of the family's 1533-position model. The record is from RNAcentral.